UGGGGAAUAUUGCACAAUGGGCGCAAGCCUGAUGCAGCCAUGCCGCGUGUGUGAAGAAGGCCUUCGGGUUGUAAAGCACUUUCAGCGAGGAGGAAGGUGGUGAGCUUAAUACGCUCAUCAAUUGACGUUACUCGCAGAAGAAGCACCGGCUAACUCCGUGCCAGCAGCCGCGGUAAUACGGAGGGUGCAAGCGUUAAUCGGAAUUACUGGGCGUAAAGCGCACGCAGGCGGUUUGUUAAGUCAGAUGUGAAAUCCCCGGGCUCAACCUGGGAACUGCAUUUGAAACUGGCAAGCUAGAGUCUCGUAGAGGGGGGUAGAAUUCCAGGUGUAGCGGUGAAAUGCGUAGAGAUCUGGAGGAAUACCGGUGGCGAAGGCGGCCCCCUGGACGAAGACUGACGCUCAGGUGCGAAAGCGUGGGGCAGCAAACAGGAUUAGAUACCCUGGUAGUCCACGCUGUAAAACGAUGUCGAUUUGGAGGUUGUGCCCUUGAGGCGUGGCUUCCGGAGCUAACGCGUUAAAUCGACCGCCUGGGGAGUACGGCCGCAAGGUUAAAACUCAAAUGAAUUG
RNAcentral lists this ribosomal RNA (567 nucleotides) under uncultured bacterium. RNAcentral describes it as "partial 16S ribosomal RNA". It matches the Rfam family "Bacterial small subunit ribosomal RNA", at positions 355 to 912 of the family's 1533-position model. The record is from RNAcentral.